Long non-coding RNA from Raphanus sativus (radish), 1471 nucleotides. RefSeq lists it as uncharacterized. The transcript has 4 exons. Lineage: Eukaryota; Viridiplantae; Streptophyta; Magnoliopsida; Brassicales; Brassicaceae. The record is from RefSeq and is a predicted model, not a curated record.
AAAAAAAAAACAUAAUUCCAACUCUCGGCCAGGCCCGGCCCGCUGCGGAAGCAGUAGAAGCGGCUGUUUAGGGUCCAAACGUAUGUUUGGUCCGGCGCUGCUCUCGGCCCCAUCUGCUUACCUUUAGCCAAGAGGACCUUUUUUGAACAGUCCGGUCCUCACAAGGAUAUCUAUCUUCCAAGGGAUUAUUACACUGGGUGAGCAUGCUCUGUAGUUAGAUCAUUAAAUGCUUCAAUUAGAUCGUGUCUCUCUAUCUCAUCGUUUUCUUUUUGCUUCGUAAAGCACCUUAUGUGAAUCAUGUUUGUCUUCAAUCACUUUUUCUUAUUCAUAGUUAUUCCUACAUCUACAGCUCAUACAUUUGAUACCCUGAAUCCAUUUUCUCCUUGGGGGUUUCCAAAGAUUUAGGUUUCUGUCUACGUUCGGCGGUUGGUGCAGGCUACGCGUCGUAGGACCGUUUUUAUCUGAUUCUUAAUCAUCCUCCAACACCAAUGAAAUAAUUAGACUUGUUUGGAAGAUGUUCUAGAUGGUAGUGAAGGGUUGUUGGAAGGAAGUUGAGUUUUGAAUUCAAGUUUGAAGAUGUAUCAAGUCUUGGACAAGUCAAGUCUUUAUACUGAAAUUUGCAAGGUUUGAAGGCAAGUCCAUGCAUGCUUUUUCUAUGUUUAUCAUGAUGGCUUCUUGGCACAGCGAUAUAUCUUCCUUGGUUACUGUGUGUUUUGGUUCCGUAGUUUAAGAUUUUUUUUUUUUUUUUUUUAUUAUUAUUGGAUUUGUUGAAGAGAUCCAAGGGGGUUUGGUUUCAUUCAGUAUGUGGAUCCUGCUGAGGCAAAACAUCACAUGGAAGGCUAUCUGAAAUCAGAACGAGGGAUCGAGGUGGAAAAGGUGGAGAUUCUUCGUCUCUUCAACCCUGAAAGAAGACGUUCUCCUCCCCCCUAAAAGACAUCAAUCUAGUCUGUCUCACCUCAGGAAAGACGACACUAGAAGGAGACCUCAUACUCUCGCUCACCACUAAAAAGGGUUCGCAGUGGAAGUCAUGAGAGAGUGAAGAGCCACAGCAGGAGCCGGGAGCUACACGCCUGAACAAGCCAAGAGCCCGGUCCUUUAGGCAGAGCAGGAGUAGAAGUCCAAUCCCCUCGUGGAGAAAGAAAUAGUGACGGUUCUCCAAUCCAGUGAUUUAUUACACAAACCCCAUAUGUCUCUCUACACACCAGUUCUGCAGUCUUGUUUGUUAGCUAGCUCUACGUUAUCAGAUAGAUAUUCGUUUGCCACUAGGUUGAAUUCUCUUAACUUUUAAGUCUUUUUUUGUUUUGAUAAGUUUUCUAAGACAGCUCCUCUUGUGUUAUUGUUUAAUGUUUGAUUCAUGAAUGAACUUAAAAGACAUGACAAUGAGAUUCCAUGUGCUUUUUUUGUCAUCUUAUCUCUCUUGUUAUGGUGAAAGAAGAUGGUCCUAUUAGGGAAUGUGGGAGCGUUUUUGACG